This 333-nucleotide ribosomal RNA is filed under the name Crataegus harbisonii. Its description in RNAcentral is "eukaryotic LSU rRNA". Lineage: Eukaryota; Viridiplantae; Streptophyta; Magnoliopsida; Rosales; Rosaceae. The record is from RNAcentral.
UGGAGAAUCCCGUGAACCAUCAAGUUUCUGAACGCAAGUUGCGCCUGAAGCCAUUAAACCGAUGGUGACCUGCCUGGGCGUUACACGCUGUUGCCCCUCCCGGCACCUCCCUUGGAAGCGUCGGUGAGCGGACGAUGGCUUUCAGUACGUCACCACAUGUGGUUGGCACAAAUGUUUAGUCCCCGGCGACGAACGCCACGACAAUCGUUGGUUGUCAAACCUCGGUUGCUUGUUGUGCACUUUCACCGAGCUCUGGGCGGCUCAUGAUGCUCACUGCUUUACUUCGACGGAGCCUUCAACGCGACCCCAGGUCAGGCAGGGUUACCCACUAAA